ACUGUAUGGGAAUGCAUUGUACGUAUAUGUACAUUCCACACAACAUAUACUGUACAUGUAUAUGACUUACACUGUCCAGUCUUGCGCAAGGUCACUUCAUGCCCUUUGACACACGUACUGAGCUAGUGGUCAGCACACAGCAUAUACUGUACAUGUAAAUAUGACCUUGCCUCAACCAGAAAAACCGUUAGGCCACAUUGCGCUAGCCUGCAUGCAGUUCAGUUCUACUACUCAUUCAAAAUGGUUAAAGACGGAGCAGGCACAAAUGUACAUCGUCUUCUCGAAAAAACACUGAUUACAUGUAUUGUAUUCAGUUCCAAAUCCGCGUCCAAAAGCAUCACACAUGUCUGUAAACAUACAGAUUAGUCAGAGUUAAUAUUCCUGCAGCACCACGGUCUUUGCGGAAUGGGAGAUAGUUUGGACAGAACCUUUCGUUUCUGGAGCCCUGUUCUUUCAAACCUGGCAGUAUGUUGUAGGCCUUACUGGGAGCCAUGGAGACAAUGGAACAGUCAAGCGAUACGUGAGGAGAGGAGUUUUGCAACAGAGACGGGUGCGACAGUGACGGGAAAAGGCUCAGGAGACACUAGAAGCACGUUUAUAUAGGAACAAUCUGCAGCAAAUUAAGUGACUCGGAGUGUAAUUGUUAUGACCAUUUGAAGCACGCGAACUGGAUAUCAAAACAGUGACGUUAUUUCUGCAAGGCUUCAAUGUUACAGCUUUGAUGUUUUUCAUCUUUGAUUCGAUAAAACUUCACCAGUACAUGAAAGUUCUGUGCUUCUCAGGACCUGUUUCCCCAGGUCUGCACAUUUCUCCAUUUUUUUGUCAAUAUUAUGAUGAUCUGAGACCGAAUGUUAAUUGCCCUGGAUUUAUCAAGCCAUUGAAGUUUCCUGUAAAUUUACUCACUGAGAUAUUGAGACGAGUUUCAUAAUUUAAACGAAUAGGCUAGCUUUACUGUUUUAGCGUGGAUUGUGGCCUAAUUAUGAAACGAGAGGCAUUAAACUCAAACCAAAACCUUCCCUCUUUUAUCCUCAACAUUCAAAUUUACAUGUAAGU
This 1053-nucleotide long non-coding RNA is filed under the name Patiria miniata (bat star). RNAcentral describes it as "uncharacterized LOC119733316". Lineage: Eukaryota; Metazoa; Echinodermata; Asteroidea; Valvatida; Asterinidae. The record is from RNAcentral.